AAUUGCGUGCAAUGCUCAAGUUGGAAAAGUGGGCAGAAAUAGAAAUUUCGGGUGGAAGUGAAGUGAAGGUAUUUCCUUGCCUCCAACAUUUGGAAAUUAGGUGGUGUGAGCGAUUGAUGAAUGUUCCAAGUUUGGGGCAGUUGCCCAAUCUCAAGUCCCUUGAGUUAAAAGGAUUGGGAAAUUUGAAGUGUAUAAAUUCUUCAUUCUACGGAAUGGUGAACAAGGACACACGCAUUGUUUUUCCAGCUCUCGAGACCUUCGAAUUGUCAUUCAUGGAUAAGCUGGCAGAGUGGGCAGAAAUAGAAAUUUCGGAUGGAAGUGAAGUGAAGCUAUUUCCUCGCCUAAAAAAUUUGGCAAUUGAUAACUGCUUGCAAUUGAUGAGUGUUCCAAGUCAUGUCUCGUCAUGCCUUGAAUAUUUGUUAAUUCAUAGGAUCGGUGUGGAAUGUCUGCCAGCUGAUUGGUUAUUGAGUAACAGCGAGACUCUCUCUCUGUUGGUAAUAGACGACUGCCCGAAUUUGAGAGAAAUAUCAGAUAGGUGGGGAGAAGAAGAAUCAGAAGGAAGAAGCUUCACAAUCACAUCCCUCCCUAUAUUCCCUCGUCUAACAGCUUUGAGAAUUGAAGACGUUCCUAAGUUAAGUUUGGAGACUGUGGAUGAAAUGCGGCGCCUCCAAAUUCAUGGAUACAAAGAAAUUGACCAUGACGGUAAAGGUGAGUAUCAAAUAUCUUUUAUAGAAACAGUUGCAUGUGUAUUUCAUUUGAAAAAAUUCGAAUUAUCAAAAAUUGAAGUAGCCUAGUAAAAUCUACUAUUAUCUUAUUCUAUGGAGUUUCUAAUUCAAUUGCUAUUAGUUUGGGGAUCGAGAUUUAGCGCACCACAUGUGUCACUUUCAAUUUUAUUUAUAUUUUUAUAUAUUUUCUCUAAUUUCAACUUUGAAUGCUUUAGUUUAAUUUUGUGAUUAUUAAUUAGAGUUCAUUCCAUCUAAUUACGGUAUAUAAUUAUUUUUUAUCAUUUAAUUUCACUUUUAUUUGUUAAUAAUAGGGUAUAUAUUUUUAUAAAAAAAAUACUUUUUUUGAAAUAAUAAUUAAGAAUAAUUCAUAGUAUUACAAUUUAUUUUUAUAAAAAAUAUUAUUAAAAUAUAUAAGAAUGAAAUAUAGUGACAUACAUAAAAUUGUGGGGCUUAGUUUGGUGUUCCACUUCAUCUCAAUCUAUACUAAUAGAAAAAGAGCCUAAGGCAGUCUAAGACACAACUUGUGGAUUGCCUAUUUUAUCCAUGUUAUAUAUUUAUUAUUAUAUAUAUAUAAAAUAUAAAUCUAUUUUGACAUACAUUUAUAAAUCACCCAAAUCUAUGAAGAAUACUUUAUAUCUAUAGCUAUUGAUAAGGCUUAUAAAUAAAUAUAUCCAUCCAAUAAAUUAUCUAUAAAAGUAAUGAAUUAUAGAUUUUUUCAUAUGUGUUUUGACCUCCCAAAGUCCCGGAAGAAGGGGUACAAUUAAGUCCCCCCUUGUAUGUUACACCUGCCUUAGGAGUUUUUUUUUUAUUUUUUUUUUUUUUUUUUAAGGGCUUCGUUAAUUCACCUUUUUUCCGGGACUUUUGGGAGGUCAACGCGCUUUGACCGACUUUGGGGGGAAAAGUCUAGGGGGGUGUACUACAGGGGGGAAUCUGCACCUUUGCCCUUAUAUAUAUAAAAUAUAAAUCUAUUUUGAUAUACAUUUAUUUGUCGCCCAAAUCUAUGAAGAAUACUUUAUAUCUAUAGCUUCUGAUAAGGCUUAUACAUAAAUAUAUCUAUCUAAUAAAUUAUCUAAUAAAAAUCGAUAUGAAUAUUCUUUGUUUAACUUUAGUUGAUAGGAUUAUUAUGUCGAGGGUUGAAGAAGAUGCAUGUUUGGAUACCAAUUUGUUUCACAAUCGAUAUGAUUCUCAAAGACUCAAACUUCAUUGAUCAUUAUAAGGAAUUAUUUUGAGUAGAUCACUUCUAAACUAAGGAUUCACAACACUAUUUAUGCCCAUAGACACAAAAGUGGUAUUACUUUUCUUGGCUAAUGUGAAUCUUGUACCUCAUUUCUUGUCUACUUUUCAGGUGGAUUUGGAGGGGCAUUUUGAGUAACUGUCAAGCUCUUAUUGAGCCAUUUUGAGCUUUGUUAUAGAUUUUCUAAUAGAAUCAAAUAAGCUUCAAAAUGACAUGAGGAUAUAUAAAUGUCAAUCUCUCAGGCAUGUGUCUAUUGUUCUGUUUUUAUGAUCUUUUCUUCAGAAAGCUAUUAAUUUGAUUUCAUAAUAUCCAACACUCCAGAGUCCAGCCUUAUUGCAUGUUGUUUAUUGUUAGUUACAUCCCAUCAAAGUUGAACUAUCUGUUAUUGUUUUAACUCCAAACAUUAAUCCUUGAUUGCAGUGAGUAUGAUUCUAAAGCCAUGGCAGAGAUAGGGGAGCUUCUGAGGAGCAUGGAGACAAGGCGGAAGAAUAAGAAUGAUGACAGUGUAGUUGUUGAGUCUGAAGAGAAGGAUGAUGACAAAAAUUCAGACAACAAUGUUGAAGAUGAAGAUAGUGAAACAGAGGAUUCAGCAGCUGUGGAAGUUGAACCCAAUCCCAGCAACACCAAUGAAAGAAUGUUGAGCAUAUCAUAUAACACAGCAAAGUUUCAAUUUGCAUCACCAUUUGAAUCUUGCAAGUAAGUUCUAACUGGCAGGACAGGAUAUUUGGUUUUACUUUAUCAAUUGCAUGUUUUUCCUUGUUUUUAUAAACAGAUGAAAGUAGUAACAAGACUUCAUUUUGCAUAGACGAAAGUAGUAAUGAAACUACAAUUUGAAUUUUCUGGGCAGAGCACUUUUUCUUUCUUGCUUUUCUUUUCCUUUAUUUUGGUGUGUUUCUAGUUCUAUUUUAAUUUGAGCUUUUAAUACAGCCUUGAGAAUGCUUUAAAGGGAAGUUUGAUUUAGUGGAUAAGAUAGAUAAGAAUGGUAUGAGUAGAGGAUGUUUAAAUAAUCCAUCCAACUUCGUGGCGAUAAAUAAGCAGAGAGCAUCAUAUCAAUUAAUGCAUCAUAUCAUAUCAUAUCGUAUAACAUUAAAACAAAGUUUCAAUUUGCAUCACAAUUAGAAUCUUACAAGUUCUAGCAUUAUUAAGCAUAACUUUUAUAUCCUUGUUUUCUUUUUUCUAUCAUCUUUUUCUCUUUUUCUUUUAGGGGCGCGAUUCUCUUUGAUGGAAAAGAGUGGAAAACAUAUAUUUUCACCAUUUUCCCCCACUUUUUACAAGUUUUAUAGGGUAGAAAUAUAUAUUUUCACAUGUUUCACAUCUUUUUCUCCUUUUGCAUUAAUUAAAAAGAGUGUGUGGCUUUUGUAUUUUAAAGUGUGUGGGUUUUUCUUUAUUUUUAUAUUUUAUAUUAAUAGCUAAGGUUUAACUUCAUUAUUUUAAAGUGGUUAUUUUCUUAUUUUAUUACUUCACUUUUUAUUAUUAAGUUAUGUAAAAAUUAAAAUCGCGAAAUCAUCAUUCUUCUCUAAUUUCAGUAACAUUCUUUUAUUGUGCUACUAUAGUUCAACAAAACUCGUUAAUUCACACAUUUCCACAACGAGGAGAUGCAUCUUUUAUUGCCACAAAAUUUCACUACACCCAGAUUUAUGCAUAUCUCUGCGAUGGGCUAAAAAGAGUGGAUUCUUCCCUCCCAAACUUCAAGCUCUUAGCUUCGUCUCUCGAAAUGCCGAAGGCGUUCAUCAGAACCUCGUUCGGCAUUGCUCGGAUGGCCGAGAGCCGGCCAGCGAGCUGCGCGUUCAUGGCGUUGUCGUUGGUCUUGAACGCGAUCCACUCGAAUCCUUCCUGGCUAGCCUUCUUCACGACUACGAAGUUUUGUGGUACGAUCAAUAGCUGCCCCUCUCUCACUUCUCCGUCGAAGACCGACCUUCCUUGGGUUCCGACCACUUGAACUCGGGCACUUCCUCGGGUCACGUACAUGGCGGAGUGGGCGUUCGUGCACCAUUGAGGGGCGACGACGGCGUUCUUGUAGAGGAUCCCUCGUUGCGCGCUGAGCUGGACGUAGUUGAGGAUGGGGAGGGACUGGCUGUUGACGUUGCUGAUGCGGCCGCCGCGUGGGUUGUAGAGAUCGGCGCUCGUCGGGUGGUCCAAGUUCCUCUUGAUUUUGUAUGAGCAGAAGGUUUCUUCUAACCUGAGGUACCCAAAGUCUCUCUUUAAUCAGAUGUACAUGGCUAUAGUUUUUAAUUACUCUUUUGGAGCUUAAAACAUUUUUAGCUCAUUAUCUUAGGACGAUUUGUAAAUUUUUUUUUUUUUAGAAUUUAUAGAAUUUGAUCAUUUUAUUUUAGAUUUGGGUGUCUAGGGGUCACAUUUGGGCCUAAUUCGAUAUCCGUGAGCCAUAUUAAAAGCAAAAUAGCCUGAUAUGUCCCAAAUAUGGCCCACGGACAUUGAAUUGUGAAAUAAAAUGGUCCCCAAUUCUACCUGUCCAAAAAAAUUGACUUAUUUUUGCAAACUGUCCUAAGAUAAUAUAACCUUUUGUUCAUGUAUCUCUUACCCGUUAUAGUAGCCUCGUCGUUGGUCUUGACGCUCCUCGUCCUCGCUUUCCCACUCCGGGAGCACCAUCCUCAACUUCUCGGCAUGGACGAUGAUGCCUCGCUCGUCCUCCCGGCCUUGCAGCUUCCUCAUUAGCUCGGGAUCGGCAUUGAAUGCUUCCGCUAGAAGCUCCUCGUCGAAGCCAUAGAAUACGUUUCGUGUUUCUUGCGCUUCCUUUUCGCCUCUCCUCCUCAUGUAUCUUCCCUCUCCCUGCGGCCUAUCGAUGGAUUCUGGGUUUCCGGCAAGGAGGAAUUUCUGCAACAAAAUAUCAUACAUAUAUAUCAUUUUCAAAUAAGAAAAGACCACAAUUUUUAAGUACGUACCAAUAUAAUAAUAAGACCAUAAUUUUUAGUGACGGAGGAAAUAUUUUUUUAUUUAUAAUUGUAAAAUGAAUAUUCCAUUUGUUCCCCUUUAAUUAGUUCAUUGCUGUUGGAAAUUGGGAAUCUUACUCUGAAUUUGAAAUCAAGCUGGUUGUUGUCAUUGCCAAUGUCCAUCAUCGACACGUAGGUCAAUGGGGCGUCUCCGUCGUUGUAAACGAAGGUCGUGAUACCCUCCGGCAAGGCGAUGACGUCGCCGCGGCGGAACCGCCUGAGUUUCUGGUGGCGGUCGCCCCUCCGGCCUUCUUCUCCGGAGUAGCGCGAGCUCGAUCCCGACUCCUCCGAUUCAUAAGUCUCCGCACAUCCCGGAAUCACAGUCCCCAAAAUUCCGCUACCUGCAAAUUUCAAUGCAUAAUAUAAAUGAUCAGAAACUACUAAUCAAAAUCGGAAUUUCAAGAAGAAUAGUAGUGUAAAUGUAAAAAAUUACAAAAAAUUACAAAUAUAAUUUAUACUUAAAAAAAUAUUUUUAAAGUAUAUAGUCAGAACUUUGAUUCUCAGGAGUAAUUUUUUAGCCUAAUUUUAAAAAAUUACAAAUAUAAUUUAUACUUAUCUACGUUGUUCACACUCUUAAUACAUGAAAAUGGGGAUUAUAGCUUCCAUCACGAUCCGAAAUAGGAGUGUAAAUGUAAAAAAUGAAAGCUAUAUAUAGUCCUUAUUUUCAAAUUCCAUAACAUAUAGUCCUCUUUUUAANAAAACACUAAAAAUUACGGUCAUGUUUUAACAAUUAACUCAUUACAUGUGUGUCCACAUUCAAAUCUAAGACUUGAGACCUUUAGUCUUAGACAUAAAUCACACUACCACUAAACCAAUACACACAAAUAUUUUCUGCUUAGAAGAAACAUGUAUCUAAUUUUUCAAAUUCAAGCUAAAAAAUUAUAGGAUAAAAAAUUAAGGUUAAUUUAAGAUUAUGCCUUAAAAAAUCAAUAUCAAGAUUAAAAAAAAAAAAAUCACCUUCGACGAUGAAGGUGAGCCUGGGGGCGUUGGUGUAGAAGGGAAGCACGAGGCCCUUGGGCUGCACUUGGUGGCGGACGAACUCGAUGCCGGCGCACUCGAACUCGUCGUUGGAGGCGUCCCAGUACUCGCUGACGCCGGCCUCCGACUGGAAGCGGAAGGUGGGCUCGCGGGCGGAGAGCUGCUGGAUUUGGCAUUGGGUCUUGGCGCGGAAGCGGUGCUGCUGCUGCGACUGCAUGCGCUGCCAGAACUGCUGCUGCUGCUGAGCAAGGCAGCCAUGGAAGAGGAAGAGGAGGCUCACGCAGAGAGAGAGGGAGAUAGCUAUGUUAGCCAUGGCUGCGAGAGAGAGAGAGAGAGGUGUGUUUGUGUGUUGAUGGAAGUGAGAAGAGAGGGGGAUUUAUAUACAAGUGGGGAGGGGAGGUGAGGCUCGACACGUGUGAAUGCGUGUGCUUGUUUUUUAUGCAUGCAUGGUUGAUGACUAUAUUUCCCAUUUUCGCUAUGUGGCAUUCAUGCAUGCAUGAUUUACAGAUUUUUUUUUUAUUUUCUUUGAUUUUUGAUGGUAUCAUAUAAUUUAUACAUAUAUAUACUGAGUUCGAGGGUUUUUUAGGGCAGUAAUUUAGGUUGAUUUGGAAAUUAGGACAAAAACUUUUGGACUUGUAAAAAUAGGACACUAAUUUUUUAAUAAAUAUGUUGCACCCGCAGGACAUUUUUCGGCCAAUUAUCGACCGAGCAAUGUCCUAUUUUUAUGACGCUUAUUAAUUAAUGUCCUAUUUUAAUCUAAAAAAAAUUAGUGUCCUAUUUUUACAAGUCUGAAAGUUUUUGUCCUAAUUUCCAAAUCAACAUAGUUACUGUCCUAAAAAAUCAUCUGACUCUAUAUAUCCUCUUGUAGCUAUACUGCGCAGGUGUUUGUUUGCAGGUUAAAAAUAUUUACUUCGAUUACAUGUGUGGAUGAGUUUCAAUGGAGGUGUCAAAGCGUUAAAAUCUAAUGUUUGCACUUUAUAUAUAUAUAGGGACAUAGGGAGUGUUAUUAUAGAAAUUAAAUUUAUUGUAUAAAAGAAGUCUACUAUGAAUUCGUUGAAAAAUUAAUGAAUUGAGAAAAUGUGAAAUUUUUGCCAUGUAUGAGAUUUCGAAUCCCGCACGACUAAAUCACAAAUUCAUUUAGUAAAGUGAUGAAUUCAAAAUACAUAUUCACAGUCUAAAGAUUGAAAAUGAUUUUUAUUUUAUAUAAUAUAUAACUUGACCUUUUUUAAACCAUUCUCUUGUAUAUAAGAUUACACUUUCAAGUGUUUUCCUUAAGCUAAUAAUAAAUUCUUUCCAUUUCCUAAUGGUAUAGCAACAACAACAAUAAUAAUAAAUUCAUCGUUGCAAAUUUAUUUCACUGUGAUAUCAUUUGAUUUCUACAGACGGACCCAUUGUUUUGGCGAAUGAAAUCCUCUAUCCCAAAUUUUAUGUCUCAUUGUUCGUAUUUCACUAUUAAUUUAACUAUUGUAGUAUUAAUCAUUCAUAUAAACUAAAAAAUUACUAUUGUAUUAUGAUCAACUCUAAUUAACAUUUAUUAAAAAAAUAAAAUUUAAAAAAAUUAAUAUACUCUGAUUUUGGAAUAAUCAAGCUAAAUAACCAUUUUUUAAGAUAUAAUUAAAAAGGCAAAUUAAAUAUAUAAAAAAUAAUUAUAAACUUUAAUUGAAUGAGUAAAACCUAGAUAAUAAUUAUAAAAUCAAACUAAAUCAAAACAUAUUAAAAUUGACGAAGAAAGUAAAAAAUAAUUAAAAAAAUCUAUAAUGAAACACCAAAGUUGGGAAAAAAAAUAUAUCCCAAGUGCUAUAUCGAACCUCCUAAAUAAUUCAUUAUUAUUAAGGAGGCGUUUUGAAGGAUUAGUCUUGAUAGAUAAAAAUAGUAAAUUUAAUCCCUUGUUUAUUUUGAUGAAUUGAAACUUAAUUUGGCAUAUCUCAAGGCCCUUAAUUAUUUCUAUCAUUACGUUACUUUUGCGUUAUUGUUAUCCCAUUGAAAGAGUGAUCGGAUUGGAAAAAUCUUAUUCUUAAAAAUAAAAAUAUUGAAUCGUACAUCUUAUAUAUCUAUCAUGCAAACUAAACGCCUCCUAAUUAAAUAAGGGUUAAGUAUCAAUUUAGCCCCUAACGUAGAGGCCCCUGUAGCCAAUACAACCCUAUGCACAGGGGUGUCUCAACUAAACCCCUAAGGUCCAUGUUUUGCGUCAAGUAGACCCCUCCGUCUAACGGAGAGUUAACACCGUUAACUAUUGUUAUUCUUUUUAUUUUUUAUUUUGUUGGUGGUGGGACCCACGCCUUCUUCACCACCUAACUCGCCGGAAACACGCCGGAAACCUAAUCCUAUCCUUGUCAGCCCACUUCUCCUUCCCCAUCGAACGUCACCAGUGGCCUUUAGCACCACGACUCACGAACUAAGUCCGCCCGAAACUUCAGCCUGUGCCCGAACUUCGAAUCAGAACCAUUGUAAAUCCCCAAAAGGCGAGGGCAGCAGACCAAUACAAAGUUGAGAAGUCCAACCCCCAGAUGAGGCCGGCUCUAGCCAUUUGGAUUUUGAUCGGAUGCCUUGCCCAACCCUCACAACCGCCGGUAAGAAGAAGAAAUUGUAGAAGCCCUUAUUUCAAAUGCAACCCCAAUGGACCUNNNNNNNNNNNNNNNNNNNNNNNNNNNNNNNNNNNNNNNNNNNNNNNNNNNNNNNNNNNNNNNNNNNNNNNNNNNNNNNNNNNNNNNNNNNNNNNNNNNNNNNNNNNNNNNNNNNNNNNNNNNNNNNNNNNNNNNNNNNNNNNNNNNNNNNNNNNNNNNNNNNNNNNNNNNNNNNNAUUCAUUAUUUAUUAAGGAGGCGUUUUGAAGGAUUAAUCUUGAUAGAUAAAAAUAGUAAAUUUAAUCCCUUGUUUAUUUUGAUGAAUUGAAACUUAAUUUGGCAUAUCUCAAGGCCCUUAAUUAUUUCUAUCAUUACGUUACUUUUGCGUUAUUGUUAUCCCAUUGAAAGAGUGAUCGGAUUAGGAAAAAUCUUAUUCUUAAAAAUAAAAAUAUUGAAUCGUACAUCUUAUAUAUCUAUCAUGCAAACUAAACGCCUCCUAAUUAAAUAAUCCCAAACAAUAAUUUACUUUUCAUUUUCGGAUUAGCUUAAGUGAGUUGUGUAGAAGAAUCCAAAAAAGGAAUUAAAAGACUACAAACCCAAUUUUAUUCACUCAAACGAAACCACAUUCCAUCAUAUUACACAUCGAAGCCCUCAUUAUUCCAAAAACCCUACAUUAAUUUUGGUGGAAUAUCUACUUUUUACGUUUGUUUACAUCAUAGACUUGAUCACAUCCAAGGCAUACUCAAUCGGCCAUGGACGGCUAGGAUAUCUCGAUGAACGCCUGCUAGUCGAGCUCAUGAUCCUCGACUCCUCUCUUUUAAACUUCAAAUUCCUAGCAUCCUCCCUCGAGAUGUCAUAGGCGCUCAUGAGCACCUCCUCCGGCAUCGCCCGGAGGGCCGACAGCCGGCCGGCCAGCGGGGUGACGAUGGCGUUGUCGUUGGUCUUGAAGGAGAUCCACUCGAGGCCCUCCUCAUCGUUCGCCUUCUUUAUCACCGCGAAGUUUUGUGGGACUAUGAUCAUCUGCCCCUCCCUCACCUCGCCGUCGAACACGGCCUUCCCGGCCUGGCCCACCACCUGGAAUCGGCCGCUCCCUCGCGUGAUGUAGAUCACUGAGUGAGCGUUCGCGUUCCAGGUUGGCGCCAUGAUCGCAUUCUGCAUCGAAUGUAUAAAAUAUAUACCGAUGAAUAUCCUAAUUCAUUUUAGAUUUUUCAUACAAUAAUUGGAGCACUUAUUGGGUUUAUUAUGAACAAUUUAAGUAUACAAUUAUUUUAGUAUUUAAUUUCAAUUUUAUUAGUUAAUAAUUAAUUAUUAAGAGAUUGAUAACUUUAUAACUAGUGUACAUGUACAAUUUUUUUAAACUUCAUUUUUUCGGUUAUAAAUGUUGAUUAUAAUUAAUUAUAUUAUGAUAACUUUUAUUUUAAAAUAACAAAUUUGAUAAAAAGACAUAAGUGAAAAACACAUAAAAUAUUGAGACAAUUUCUUCAUGACAUGAAAAUAGCAAAAUAAUGUCUUCGUCCUAACAAAGGUGUUCUAUUUUUUUUAAGUCUUCCGUUGCGCAGGUCUUUAAAUUUCUUUAUUUACUUAUAUAAUUAUUUUUUAAAAAAAUGUUCUAUUUAAAAAUAAAUUGUAUCCAUUACUUGUCCCCUUUCGGAACUCAAUAAUUAAUCAAUAGCAAAUAGAUGUCCCAUUUAAACAUAAAUUUUACUCAUAGAAAAACUUGUUCCAUUUCAUAAUUCAAUAGUAAAAAUUAUUUUUACGUAAAAUAAUACCAAAUAAAUUUCUAUUUAAAAACGAAUUUUUUUCAAGGCGAGAGCUCAAGAAAAUGAAGAAUCAUUAUUAAUCCUCUUAAAAAAAAUGUGGGGAUUCGAACAUUACCCUGUAGAGGACACCUUUCUCAGCGCUAAGGCGGAGCCAGCUGAGGAUGGGGAGCUUCUGGCUGUUGGCGGCGCUGAUGCGGCCGCCGCGGGGGUUGUACACAUCCGCCCGCGCCGGCUCAUCCAAGUUGAGCCUCAACCUGGCACUGCAGAGGGUCUCCUCGAGCCCGUUCGAGGCUUCGAGGUCGUCCCACCACCGGCCCCGCCUGCGGCUCUCCCUCUCCUCCUCCUCGCCCCCGGGGAAGACGAUGUCGAACCUGUCGGCCUGCACGAUUUGCCCUCGGAAGUCGUCUUGGCUCUUCAAUUUCCUCGCCGUCUCUAUGUCCACGUUGAAGAUCUCGGCUAGAAGCUCGUCGUCGAACGGAUUGAAAAUGUUGUCCCUCUCGCUUUGUUCGCUUUCUCCCCUCCGGCGGCUGCGGUAGCUCUCCGAGCCUUGUGCUUCGCCUCGUGGCUCUCCGGCUAGGAAGAAGUUCUGCACGUGGAAAAUAUAUAUUUUCACUCGUUUUUUCAUUUUAGUCGUCUGAAUAAGCUUUCCAAAUUUUAGUGAACUUAUAUUUUCACUCUUUUUUUCAUUUUAGCCGUCUCAAUAAGCUUUCCAAUAGAAAUAACAAUCGAUACAAAAUCGUACAAAUAAUGGAUAUAUUCGAUAAUUGAGUCGAUUUUUGCUACGUUGGAAAAUUUAUUCAAAAUCCUACAACUACAUAUGAUCAAAAUUGAAUUUCCACUUAAUUAAAAUUUUGGACAAUUUUCUAUAAGGUGGGAUAAUUGUUCCCUAUCAUAUAUGAUGUAAAUCUUUUUCGAACAAUUCAUUUUCUCACAUUUUUCACUCUAAUUCUUACUUCCUCCUUUUUUUUAUUUAAGUGUCUAUAGCCGUCAAAAUACACAUACCAAUAAAAUAAGAUAUUUUACAUUUGUAACCUUAGUAAUUAUCAUAAUAAACGUAUAUAUACAACUAAUUAUUAUAUUCAUACAAGUAUUAAAUAAGGAUAAAAUAAGAAAAAUAGUCAUAAAUAUACUCUUUUGAAAUGGGACACUUAUUGAGAGAAAAAAAUGAGCUAAAUGGGACACUUAUAACAUAGAAUAUUAUCAUGAGGUAUUAAUAUAACCUAGUUCUUGAUAAUAAACUUUUCAUAUUCUUUAGAUUUCUUUUUUAUCUUAAAAAUAUGGAAUAAAAAAAUUGUGCGAUAAAUUUUUCCUACUCUUUUUUUACCACUCACAUUAUUAAUUUAUCAUAAUAAAUGAAGAACAAAGCAAAACGCACCCUGAAUGUGUGAUCGAGCUGGUUGAUUUGGUUGCCGGUGUCGAGCAACGCGACGGUCUCGAGCCUCUCGUCGCCGUUGUUGUAAAACCAGAGAGUGAACCCGGCCGGCAAGGCGAUAACGUCGCCUUGCCUGAACUGGCGGACCUUCUGGUGCCGAUCCACGAAGCUCCUGCUCCGGUCAUGGUCUCGCUGCCUCAUCUCGGUCUCGAAGGUCUCGGCGCAGCCGGGAAUCACUACUCCGAGCAGUCCUCUGCCUGCAUUUUUCGACAAUCAAACUAUAAAUAUUUGAACAACUAGCCCAUCAAGAAAAUAUCGAGGAGCACAUAAAGUAUUAGAUUUAAAUAAUAAAUAUUGUAAAAAAAUAUUGAGGCCAUUUUUUCUAGAGCACUGAAAAUUGAGGAGCUAAUUGUUAAAAUAGGACAGUAACUUUUGAUGUUUUUCAGAAAGAAGAGUAUAUAUUACGAAUUACUUGAAAAUGAGGCAUAUAUAUUACAGAAUUUGAAAAUUAAGACUAUAUCUUCCGGUUUUUUACAUUUAUAUUCAUAUUUAACACAUCAAAAUAAGGCCUAUAGUUUCUAUCACGUUCCGAAAUAGGAGUCUAGUCUCUAGAUGUGGAAAAAAUGAAAGCUAUAGUCUUCAUUUUCAAAUUCCGUAAUAUAUAGUCCUCAUUUUCAAAUUCAGUAACAUAUAGCUAGUUCUCUUUCUGAAAAAGAUUGAAAAUUACAGUCCUAUUUUAACAAUUAGAUUUAAAAUUGAGACACAACCUAUGAUUAAUCCAAAAUAAUAAAAGAAAAUAAUGUGAAAAUAAUGUGAAAAAAUAGAGGAGCUGAGGCGCAUUGUUGUAGUGGGGCAGGAGAAGGCCUCUGGGCUUGAUGUAGUUCCUGACGGCGGCGACGCCGGCGCACUCGAACUGCUGGUUGUUCCGGCGCAAAUUUCACGCGCGCGCCUGAAAUAAAAAAAAAAAAAAAAGAAGAAAAUAGAAUAAAAGAACAUCAAAAUCACAUUUCAAACCGAAUAGCUCUGUAUGUCUUCAAGUCGGACAAAUGCAAUUCAUAGUGGUCCUAUUUUUUUCGGAAAUGUCUUUUUCAAUUUAGUACAAUUAAUUUGUUUGAUAGUUUUGUCAAUUUAAUAGUCAUUUAUUUAUAACAAUUUACCAUGUAAUGUUUAAUUUUAACUUUAAUAAAAUGUUAAAUAUUAAAAUAGAAAAGUAAAAAUGAGAUUAAAUAAAAAUGAGGAUUAUAACGCCUAUUAUAGCAUCAAUGCACUGGAGAAAGGGAGGCGCCAAGGUGGGGACUAUCUUAUAACGCCUCCCACUUGAGAUGCUCUUAGUUAGAAUUAAGUAAAAUGGAGUUUCUUCUAUUUCAUCUCCAAUAAUCAACUCUACAUUCCACUCAUUAGAAUAAUUUUGUCAUUUAAUUAUUAUAGUAUCACAUAUAUUUAUAAAUAAUUAUAUUUAUGCUCAAGCAUAUUUAAUUAUAAUCUAAUUUAAACAUUUUUGAUAAAAUAGUUAAUCAAGCAUAAUAUUUAAAUAUUGCAUAACGAUUAAUUUAUUCUAACAACAUACUAAAAUAAAUAAUGGCAGUUAUAUUCAGAAACAAAAUACAAAACCUUAAUUACAAUAAAUCAUAAAAUAGAGGGAAGAAAUAAGAGAGAAAAAAUAAAGUCAAGUAACUGAUGAACAAAUUUAUACUUUAUUAUAUUAUUAUUUUAUUUAGAGGGAAAAAAAAAAUACAUCUUGAAGUAUUAUGUGAACCGGGAAAAAGAAGAAUGUUCAAUUUUCUUGUCUUUUAAUUGGAAAUAUUAAAUUGCAUUAUAAAGAGGUAAUGCAUAGAAAUUUCUAUGUAACUGAUUUAUAAAGGUAUCAUAUUUGUAUAUGUUUACCACAUAGUCAAAGUCAUAGUUUAAAAAAAGUGUCGGCAAAGAUUGAAUUAUUAAAAAUGAAAAAAAGAAAACCAUAUCUUAAAUGAAUGAAAGGAAAACCAUAUCAUGAAUGAAUGAAAGGCUAUAAACUGAUCUUGAGCUUGCAUCACUCAUCCAAUUCUGUUCCUUAAUCCUCUCUCUCUCUCUCUCUCACUCAAUUUCGCUCUUUCUCUCUCUAAGUUAUCAGCUAACACAAAGCAAGGAAGCAGCCGACAUUAAAGCGCAGUAGGGAAGGUGAAGAUGAAUUUCGAUUCUGCUUGUUGAUUGCGUGUUCACACAUAAUUUUCAUUAUUUUAUUUAUAGUUUAUACCAUUUACUCACAAUUUACUUAGCAAUAUCCUUCAUGUUCGACUUUUUUUUUAUAUCUCUUUUGCACAGAUUUUCAAGCUAUAUAUAUUUGCUGGUGAGGAUCAAUAAUUUGUGUUUAGUGUUUACAUUUUCAUAUGGCCGUAUAUAUAUGGAUUGAGACAUGCAUGAAUAUUCUUCACACCUUAAAAAUCAAAAUGAUAGUACUUUGUAAACAUAAUUUAUUCCGUAGUAUUAAAAAACAUUCAUCAACUAAUGUUCAAAGUCAAAGUAUUAAAAAACGUGUCGGCGAAGAUUGAAAUAUAAAAAAUGAAAAAGAAAACCAUAUCUUGAAUGAAUUAAAGGCUGUAAACUCUUGAGCUUGCAUCACUCAUCCAAUUCUGCUCCUUAAUCCUCUCUCUCUCUCACUGAAUUUCUCUGUCUCUCUCUCUAAGGAAGCAGCAGCUGCUACCGCCGUCUUUAAGGUGAAGAUGAAUUUCAAUUCUGCUUGUUGAUUGUGUGUAGUGAAAAUUUGAGAUUUUUUUUCUUCUUUUUUUUGGUGUUUCCUUUUGUACUAAUUAUCAUGUUUGGCCAUUCUCUUAUGAGAUUUGAUACUUUGAGUUUUGCUCAUAUAUUUUGAUGAUAGAGUUUUCUUAAUUCUUACAAUAACAAAUUUUUAUUUGGAUUACGCCCUAUGAUAUAUACUCAUUAUGUCCAUGAAAAUUAUAGUGUUUUUUGGGAGCAAUGGGUUUAAUAAAUUAUCACAAUUAAGAUGUGUAUAAAGUGGGGGAAAGAGUCCCAUUAUUAUUAUUAUUAUUAGUCCUAUUAUUAUUAUUAUUAUUAUUAUUUUGAGGAAAUGUCCCAUUAAAAUUGAGUUGUGAAAGAGAUCUACUAUAUUUGAUGGGUUAAGUAAUUGGCUUUUUUUAUAAAUACUAACAGAGAUGACGUGUAUCACGUAAAGAUAAAUUAUUUUAAUAAAUAAUUUUUUAUGAGUAUAAUCAUUUCAUUUUAUAGUACUUCAUCUGUCCUCCCAUAUUUAUGCACCUUUUUUUUAUACAUCUUCGAAAUUUAUGCACCAUAUUUUUUGACACUAUCUAGCUCACACAUAAUUUUCAUAAUUUUAUUUAUAGUUUACACCAUUUACUCACAAUUUACUUAACAAUAUCCUUUAUGUUCAACUUUUUUUUAAUAUCGCUUUUGGCACAGAUUUUCAAGCUAUAAAUAUUUGCUGGUGAGGAUCAGUAAUUUGUGUUUAGUGUUCACAUUUUCAUAUCGCGGUAUAUAUAUGGAUUGAGACAUGCAUGAAUAUUCUUCACACCUUUAAAAUCAAAAUGAUAGUACUUUGUAAACAUAAAUAUAUAACUACUUCUAAAGUUAUAAAUUUAUCUAAUGAGUAUAAGUACAGUUCGGUUAAAAGUCACUUUUUAUAUAUAAAAAUAAAGGUUAUAAGUGAUUUGUGUUUCUAAAUUUUGUUUUCUCUUAAAAAUUCUUUAAAUAUUUAGCAUUUUUCAUAAAAUAUUUAAUUUGCUAUAUGAAAUUUGAUGAUGAAAAGAUGAUUCAUCUCAUAAGAGUCUAACAUGAACUGUUUUUUGGACAUUUUUUUCCAACUUAAACAUCUAAACGAUAUCGUUUUGAUGCUUUAAAAAAAAAACACUCUCAUUUAUCUCUAUUUUUAGAAUUUCAUCAAUGUCAAUUCUAAAUAUGUAAUUAUUUUCCUCCCAAUUCUCGGCUUAUUUGGAGAGGAGGAUUUUUGUUGUGAUAUAGUUUCAAUAUAUCACAAAACUUUUUUUGGACAUUCCGUACGUAUAUUUGAGACAUUUUUUAUUAAAAGGCAAGCAUAAUAAUAAUAAUAACAAACAACAUGUUCAUAUAUUAUAUAUUUUUAGUAUAUUACAAAUUAGUUUCAAUACAUUAUAAUUUUUUUUAGCAUUUCAUACAUAUUAAGCAUUUUUUUAUUAAAAGAUAAGUAUAAUAGUAAUAAUAACAAACAAUAUUUCAUAGAUUAUAUAGUUUUAAAUAACAGAAUUAUCCUUAAAUUAAGUAUAUAUGAGAGAAUAUAAUAACCAAAUACUCUUUUAUAAAACAAAAUUAUUUUAUAAUAGGUAUAAACAUAUAUCUAUAUAUAUUUAUUAAAAAAAAAAACUCAAAAAUUUGGAGGGGGCUAUAGCCCCCCUGGCUCCGUCCCUGCUUCAACUUGCAUCACUCAUCCAUUUCUAUUCCUUAGCUCUCUCUCUCACUCAAUUUCUCUCUUUCUCUCUCUAAGUUAUCGGCACAAAGAAUGGAAGGAGAAGUUGCUGCCGCCGUCCUUCAACCUCUAGUUCAAAACCUCAUCGACCUCUCCAAAAGAGAUCUCUCAGAUCCGAGAUCUCAAAAAAGAUGCCGCAAAGCUAGCCGGGAGUCUCGACAUGAUAAAAAAUUUCUUGAACGAUGCCGAGACGCGUACCAUCACCCAGAAGCUGUCAAGUGCUGGCUGAAGAAGCUUGAAGACGUGGUGUUCGAUGCUGACAAUGUUUUGGAUGAAUUCAACUAUCAUAUUCUCUCCAAACAAAUCAAGGCCGCUGAACCCAAGAAGCUGGCAAAGGUACCAUCAUGCUUCUCAUGCUUCAAGCAUAUUUCACGUUCUCGAAAUAUGGCUCUUAAAAUCAAAGAAAUCAAUGAGAAGUUGGAGUCCAUUAACGAAGAGGUGGUCAAGUUUGGCCUCGUAGAGAAGCUUGCCAAUGAGCCUGCUUUGGUUAUUGCUGCUGUGGAAACUGCUGCAUACACUCUUGAUCCAAUUUUUAUUGGAAGAGAUGAUGCUGCGUCGAAAGUAGUUGAGAUGCUUACCGCAAUAGCAUCACAAUUGGUGAACAACACACAGUGUCCGUCAUUUCCAUUGUAGGGAUGGGGGGAUUGGGGAAGACAACUUUGACUAGGAAAGUCUUGAAUCGUCUGAAGAAUGAUAAUCGGUUUGGGUCAUAUAUUUGGGUGCAUGUUUCUCCAAAUUUUGAUCCAAUAAUUCUUUUCAAGAAAAUUCUCAAAGAGGUUUCCCAAAAUAACAAAGAUAUUCUUUCAAAGUCUGAUGAAGGUGCAGUUGAGAGUAAGCAAGAUAUUCUUUCAAAGCUUAAAAUAGCUUUGGAAGAUAAAACUUAUCUUCUUGUACUCGAUGACGUCUGGAAUGAAGAGCGUUCCAAAUGGGAAGAUUUUAUUAAUUGCUUGUUGGGAGUUAGUGGUGUCGUCAAAGGAAAUGCCAUUGUUGUUACGACCAGAAAUAUGAACGUGGCUUCAAUUGUGAAUCCACUUCAUGUACAUCAGUUGAAAGGCUUAUCGGAUGAGAGUGUUGGUCAAUAAUCGAGUAAAAGUCUUUGGAAAAGAAGAUGUUCCGUCAGAACUUGAGGCCACUGGGAGACAGAUAGCGAAAAGAUGUCAAGGAUUGCCAUUAGCUGCCAACGUAGUUGGGGGAGUGCUGCAUAAUAAACCCAAGGAAAAAUGGUGUUUAAUAGAGGAGAAAUGGCUUUCAGCCAAUGAAGGAGGAGUUGAUAUCACAAACAUAUUAAGAUUGAGCUUUGAUAAUCUGUCUCCGCCAUUACUUAAGAAGUGCUUUGCGUACUGUGCGAUGUUUCCUAAAGGCUCCAAAAUCAUCAAAAGGAAACUGAUUGAGAUGUGGACUGCAGAAGGAUUUCUUCAAGCUGAUGGAAGUGAUGACAUGGGUGAAAAAUUUAUCAAUGUUCUUCUGCACAACUCUUUACUGCAAGUUUCACACAGAGAUCGUUAUGGAAAUGUCUAUGCCUUAGGCAUGCACGAUCUUGUGCACGAUCUCGCUCGUUCUGUUUCAAGUUCCUCUAACAAUUCAGGUGGUAGCAGCCGAGUUCGAUAUAUCAGUCUUGGAGACGACAACUGUGGAGAUAUAUCAAGUCCUAUCGCAAAAGAAAUGGCAAAAUCUUUGCGUUCAUUAUUAAUAUCAUUCAAAGAUGAUAUUUCUGGUAUCAACUUCUCAGACUUGGAAAGUUUGCAUGUUUUAGGUCUUGACUCUGAAGUUAAAGAAUUGUCAAGUUCUAUUCGGAAGUUGAUACACUUGAGAUAUUUUGACAUUUCAAAGACAAGCAUUGUAUAAAUGCCAAGUACGAUUAAGUACUUGAUUAACUUGAGGCAUCUUUAUAUUAACGGGUGGCAAAAGUUGCCUAUGGGAAUUGGGAGAUUAACUUCUCUCCAAACGCUAAACCGCUUUCCAGUGGGCGAUGAGAAUGGCUGCAAAAUUGAAGAGCUCGGAAGUUUGAUUAAUCUUAAAGGAGAGUUACAGAUUCGGAAUCUGGAAAGGGUUCAUGACAAGGAAGAGGCUGGGAAAGCCAAUUUAUUCAAAAAGUCAAAAAUAUUGAAGUUGCGUUUGGAAUGGGGUUGGAAGUUGCGUUUGGAAUUGGGUUGGAACAGAGAAGGUGAAAGAAAUGAUGAGGAUGUAUUGGAAGGCCUCCAGCCUCACUCAGAUCUGAGGGAGUUAGAAAUUGAUAGAUUCAAUGGAAAAAGAUUUCCAUCAUGGACUCAGAAGAUGGCAGUUCGAGAUGUGUCUGGAGGUUCUUGGGUGGUACUUAACAAGCUAAUGUCGUUAUCACUCGUUGACUGCACAGAAUGUGAAGAGAUCCCAAUGUUGGGGCACUUGCCCAAUCUCAAGUCCCUUGUGUUGUUUGGAUUGAGAAAUUUGAAGUGUAUAAAUUCAUCAUUCUACGGAAUGGUGAACAAGGAGUCAGGCAUUGCUUUCCCAGCUCUCGAGAGGUUAUUGUGAAUGCCUAAGCUGCAAGUGGGCAGAAAUAGAAAUUUCGGAUGGAAUGAAGUGAAGCUAUUUCCUCGCCUCCAAUAUUUGAAUUCUGAUUGCCCGCAGUUGAUUAGUGUUCCAAGUCAUGUGUCGUCAUCAUGCCUUGAAUAUUUGUCAAUUAGGAAGACNGGUGUGGAAUGUCUGCCAGCUGAUUGGUUAUUGAGUAACAGCGAGACUCUCUGGUUUGAUAAGGUGCCCGAAUUUAGAGAAAUAUCAGAUAGGGGGGAGAAGAAGAAUCAGAAGGAAGAAGCUCACAAUCACAUCCCUCCCUAUAUUCCCUCGUCUAACAUUGAAUGCGUUCCUAAGUUGAGUUUGGAGACUGUGGAUGAUGCGCCUGAAGUGUGCCCACUACUUAUGUUACUGAGUAUAUGUGAACAGUUGUGCGAUAUUAAAAUUCUUUUAAUUAAGUUAGCCUAGCUAAUUUUGGAAUGGAAGAGUUACCUGAAUGGUUUGCAAACCUCUCUUCUCUAAAGCAGUUGUCUUUAUGUGACUGCAAAAGGCUAAGGCGUCUACCAUCCAUGGAUGCAAUGCGGCGCCUCACAACAUUAAAAGAACUAGAUAUUAGUGGUUCCCCGGAAUUAGUGAUUAAAAGUGAGGCAGCUGAUUCUGAAUGGCCCAAGGUUUCUCAUAUCCCCUACAUCUACAUUGAUGGCUCCAAAAUACGGUGACGGUGAGUAUCAAUAUCUUUUCUUAGAAACAGUUGUAUGUAUAUUUUAUUUGAAUUUUACUUUACCGGUGAUGAAGACAGUUACUCAUCAAAAUUGGUUACUCCAAAUACAUUACCGGUCAAGUACUAGUGAGUAUCAAUAUCUUUUCUAGAAACAGUUGUAUGCAUGUGUAUUUUACUUGAAAAAAAAUUCUAAUUAUUAGAAAUUGAAGUAGCCUAGUAAAAUCUACUCCCUCAGUCAAGCUUCAAAUGUCCCAUUACUUUUAGGCACGAAUAUUAAGAAAUAUGUAUAAAAUAAAUAAAAUGUGUAUAAAGUAAAUAACGUGGAUUGGUGGAAAUUGUUUAAAUAUUUAUUAAGUAUAGAGAGAGUGUGUAUUGCCAAAAAAAGGUAUGAGACAUUUGGAAUGUGACGCCCAUUAUGAAAAGUGAGACAUUUGGAGCAGGACAAAGGGAGUAUUAUCUUAUUUUAUGGAGUUUCUAAUUCAAUUGCUAUUAGUUUGGGGAUUGAGAUUUAUAGCAUACCACACUUGAUGUCUCACUUUCAAUUUUAUUUAUAUUUUUAUAUAUAUUUUCUCUAAUUUUAACUUUGAAUGCUUUAGUUUAAUUUUGUGAUUAUUAAUUAGGGUUCAUUCCAUCUAAUUAGGAUAUAUAAGUAUUUUUUUAUCAUUUAAUUUCACCUUUAUUAGUUAAUAAUAGGUUGAAAAAAUCAAAAUUAUGGUAUAUAAUUUUAUAAAAAAAUAAUUUUUUGAAAUAAAUAUUUAGAAUAAUUCAUAGUAUUAUAAUUUUAUUUUUAUAAAAAAUAUUAUUAAAAUAAUAGAUAUAAGAAUGGAAUAUAGUGACGUACAUAAAAUUGUAGGACAAUGGAUCCCAUCCCUUUUGGUGCUUAAACAAUACGAGAUUAAAUUGUUUUGAGUUUGUUUACUAGUAGUAUUUACAGCAACUCAUCAUCUUAGCUUCUUUUUUUUCCAUUAAUAUAGGUUAACAAAUUUUAAAUUAUGCUAUAUAAUUUUAUAAAAUUUAAUAUUUUGAAAUAUAUAUUAACAGUAAUUCAUAGCUUUUUUUUUAAUUAAUUCUUUUUUGUAUUGAUACAGAAUAAAGUGAGAAGCAAACAGUUGUGUUUGAGGUCCCUCUAAAGAAUUAGGAGGUGAAGAAGCAAGCGAUCUAGUGAAGAAGGAAUAAGUGAGUGUCCAUUUUCUCCAUGAUGACUUGCUCAACCUCUUUUCAUAAUUUUUUUUUGUAAUUCCCUAUAUAUUCUUUGUUUGAACUUUAGUUGAUAGGAUUAUUAUGUCUAGGGUUGAAGAAAAUGCAUGUUUGGAUACCAAUUUGCUUCACAAUUGAUAUGAUUCUCAAAGACUCAAACUUCAUUGAUCAUUCAUCAUUGUAAGAAAAUGGAGUUUUUUUUAUCGCUUUUUCUUUCUCCUCUCCCAUCAAUUUUUAUUAUUAUUAUACAAAUAUUUGCUAAUAAACUGGAAUUUUGUUGGGGAGAUGUCUAAAAUCAUAUACAAAUAGAAACGAUGAAAAUCUAAAGAGACUUUUUUUCUGGGAAAGAAGGUAAUAUGAAGUUUAGUUUAAUCCCAUAUUUCUUGGCUAAUGUGAAUCCUGUAUAGCUGAUUUGUUGUCUACUUUUCAGGUGGAUUUGAAGGGGCAUUUUGAGUAAUUGUCAAGCUCUUAUUGAGCCAUUUUGAGCUCUGUUAUAGAUUUUCUAAUAGAAUCAAAUAAAUUUCAAAAUGACAUGAGGAUAUAUGAGGAUUUGUAGGACUAAAUGUCAAUUUCUGUUUAUGAUUCUGUUUUUAUGAUUUUUUCUUCAAACUUGAACUAUCUGUUAUUUGUUUUAACUCCAAACAUUAAUCCUUGAUUGCAGUGAGUAUGAAUCUAAAGCCAUGGCAGAGAUAGGGGAGCUUUUGAAGUUCAUGGUGGCGAGGCAGCCUCAACUAGAGGCGCCAACCAGCUUGCUCAUGGGGACGAACGACGACAGUGUAGUUAUUGAUUGUGAAGAGAAGGAUGAUGACAAAAAAAUUCAGACAACAAUGUUGAAGAUGAAGAUAAUGAAACAGAGGAUUCAACAGCUGUGGAAGUUGAACCCAAUCCCACCAACAAGGGUAAAGGAAAAAAGGCACACCAAUGAAAGAAUGUUGAGCAUAUCAUAUACUAACAUUAAAACAAAGUUUCAAUUUGCAUCACCAUUAGAAUCUUACAAAUUCUAAUUGGCAGGACAGGAUAUUUGGUUUUACUUUAUCAAUUGCGUGUUUUUCCUUGUUUUUAUAAACAGGCGAAAGUAGUAAUAAGACUUUCAAUUUGCGUAGACGAAGGUAGUAAUAAAACUACAAUUUGAAUUUUGUAGGUAGAACACUUUUUGUUUCCCCCUUUUUUCUAGUGUGUUUCUAGUCCUAUUUUGAGCUAUUAAUACAGCCUUGAGAAUACUUUAAAGGGACAUUUGAUUUAGUGGAUGAGAUAGAUAAGAAUGAUAAGAGUAGAGGAUGUUUUGUAGAGGAGGUUUAAAUAAUUCAUUCAAUUUUGAGGUGAUAAAUUCAAAUAAAUUAUUAAAGUUCAUCACAAAUCGAAUCAUACAAAUCAAACACUCGAUUAAAUUGAAGUAGCAAUUGCACCCCGUGAUCUUUAAUUUGAUAUGCAUAUUAAAUCAAAUAUCAAAUAUUUUGAAUCAAAUAUAUGAAAUUAAAGCUCUUAUCGUGAUCUUUAAUUUGAGUAUGCAAAAAUUAUGCAAGAUGAUGAAUCUCUAUAGUUUCUACUUCAAAUUAACUCAUGAGCUAUAGUUGUAGUAGGAAAGAUAUAUAAUAUGAGAAUCCGGCCCAACCCAUUUUUAAAAUAAAUGGAUUUGAAGAUCCAUCAUUUAAAACUCAUGAGAUAUUUAUCAUUCAUAUGAAAACAUAAAAUCACAUUCAUAUAAUACCAUUGAAAUUAUGCAAAGCAUAAUGUAUUAAUGCAUGGAUUGAUCACUUGGACCUUACUCUAUAUCAAUUUAACUUGCUCAAUCCAUUUCUGGCCCAACUCUAAAUAUAUAUUUUUAAUAGUUGAGAUGGAUUGAUAACUUUCAAGCCAGGACUCCAAUAUUCUCAUUUUAUUCUAAUUCAGUUAAAAAUUAAAAUUUGAGUAUACUUUGUAUAUUUACAGACCUACUCCAAAUUAAAAAGGAGUAUAGCUUUCAUCACGGUCCAAAAUAGGAGUAUAAAUGUAAAAAAUGAAAGUUAUAGUCUUCAUUUUCAAAUUCUGUAACAUGUAGACCUUAUUUUCAAAUUUCGUAAUAUAUAGUCAUCUUUUUGAAAAUAUUGAAAGUUAUAGUCCUGUUUUUACCAUUAGGUCUUGUAUAUUUACAGACCUACUCCAAAUUUAAAAGGAACAAUGUGAUAUGAUAUACUUUAUUUAUAAGAAAGUAAUAAAAUUCAUUAUAAAUAUCAAUAGCGUGAAUUUCACGCGCGUGCCUAAUUUUUUUUAAAAAAAUUCGAAUAAAAGAUCAUCAAAAUCACAUUUCAAGCCCAAUAGCUCUCUAUAUGUCUUCAAGUCGGACAAAUGACAAUUCAUAGUGGUCCUAUGUUUUUGGGAAAUGUCUUUUUCAAUUUAGUACAAUUAAUUUGUUUGAUCGUUUUGUCAAUUUAAUAGUCAGUUAUUUAUAACAAUUUACUUAAUAUAAUGUUUAAUUUUAACUUUAAUGAAAUGUUAAAUAUUAAAAAAGAAAAGUAAAAAUGAGAUUAAAUGGAAAUGAGGAUUAUAAUGCCUAUUAUAGCGUCAAUGCACUGGAGAAAGGGAGACGCCAAGGUGGAGACCACCUUAUACCGCCUACCACUCGAGAUGCUCUUAGUUAGAAUUAAGUAAAAUGGAGUUUCUUCUUUUUCAUCUCCAAUAAUCAACUCUACAUUUCACUCAACAGAAUAUUCCAUUUUUAUGCUUUCUGUCAUUAAAUAAUUUUGUCAUUUAAUUAUUAUAGUAUCACGUAUAUUUAUAAAUAAUUAUAUUUAUGCUCAAGCAUAUUUAAUUAUAAUCUAAUUUAAAUAUUUUUGAUAAAAUAGUUAAUAAAGCAUAAUAUUUAAAUAUUGCAUGACGAUUAAUUUAUUUUAACAACAUACUAAAAUAAAUAAUGACAGUUAUAUUCAGAAACAAAAUAUAAAACAUUACAAUAAAUCAUAAAAUAGAGGGAAGAAAUAAGAGAGAAAAAAUAAAGCCAAGUAAACGGAUGAACAGUAUCCACUACAUGUGCUGAGUUUUGUUCACACUGCUCCAAAUAUUAGUUGUAGCAAAGGCACCGUUGGAGAAGGGUUUCACUGCAUUCAAACAUAAAAAAUGAUAAAUUUAUACUUUAUUAUGUUAUUAUUUUAUUUAGAGGGAUAAAAAACGAAUACAUCUUGAAGUAUUAAUUAUGUGAACCGGGAAAAAGAAGAAUGUUCAAUUUUCUUGUCUUUUAAUUGGAAAUAUUAAAUUGCAUUAUAAAGAGGCAAUGCAUAGAAAUUUCUAUGUAACCGAUUUAUAAAGGUAUCAUAUUUGUAUAUGUUUACCACAUAGUGUCGGCAAAGAUUGAAUUAUAAAAAAAUGAAAAAAGAAAAACAUAUCUUGAAUGAAUUAAAGGAUGUAAACUCUUGAUCUUGCAUCACUCAUCCAAUUCUGCUCCUUAAUCCUCUUAAUAACAUUCAUGAAAUAUAAAAAAUGAAAAAAGAAUUAUCUCUAUUAAUAACAUUAAUGAACUCUUAUUGCCUUAACACAAAUUCUUGUGUGCACCAUGGAGCACGUGCUCCGGUGCACACAAGAAUGCCUCUUGGCUUAAAGCCUCUUACGUUGAAACAUUUCAUUAAUUAUGCCAGCUAAGAUGAAUCAGCUAUCACUUUUGAACUAUUUGAGUUUUCAUCGUCAGAGUUGCUUGCCUAUAAUUAUUGAGUUUUCGUUUUCGGAGUGGUUGAGAAAUAAUGAGGGAGAAAUAAAGAUAGAUAUAUAGGCUGUCUUUUAAUUUUAUUUUAUUUUCACACCUUGAAGUAGUAUUAUGUAAAACGUGAAAAGGAAGAAUGUACAAUUUUCUUGUCUUUAAUUGGAAAAAAACGCAUUAUAUAGAGUUAAUGUAUAUAAAUUUCUAUGUAACCAAUUUAUAAAGAUGCCAUAUUGAUUUAUAUAAGUAUUUUAAUACGUUUACCACAUUGUUAAAAUAUUAACUAAAUACUAGUAUAUUCAACAAUUUUUUUACUCCAUCCGUUCUCAUAAAAUGUAUUCAAUUUGUUGUUUUUGUUCGUCUUCAUAAAAUCAAUUUAAUUUAUUUUUGAUGAGUUUUUCACUGACAAUAAAGUGAGAUCGAUCCUAUGAAACUAUUAUUUUAUUCACAACAUAUUUAAUGUAUUUUAUUAAAAUUUGUACCAUUUAUAAAUAAUUACUCCAUGCGUCCGUCAAAAAUAGGAGUCAGGGGAUGUUUUAGGACAUUAACUUAAAUUGAUUUGAAAAUUAGGACAAUAACUUUCGGAUUUGUAAAAAUAGGACACUAAUUAUUUUUUUGAGUAAAAUAGGACACUAAUUAAUAAGCGUCGUAAAAAUAGGACAUUUCUCAGCCGAUAAUUGGCUAAAAAAUGUCCUGCGGAUGCAACACUUAUUAAUUAGUGUCCUGUUUUACUCUAAAAAAAAAUUAGUGUUCUAUUUUUACAAGUUCGAAAGUUAUUGUCCUAAUUUCCAAAUCAAUCUAAGUUACUGUCCUAAAAAACCCUCAAACUCUCAAAAAUAGGGUACAAUUACUAUAUCGGACGUCCGCAAAGAGUGUUUCACUUUCCUUUUAAAGAAAUGGUCUCACCAUCCACUUUAAUCUUACUUUAAUCUUUUAACCUUACAAAUUUACAAAAAAAAAAAUACACCCUAAAUUCAAUCUCAACCACAUAUCUAAUAAAGUGAUGGGACUAUUUCUCUACUACAUCAAAAUCAUCAUCAAUUUUAUUAAAUCUUUUGCCCAACUAAAGUGCCCCAUUUUUUAGGGACGUAUGGAGUAUUUUUUAUAAGGACGAGAGGGAUUAAGUCGGAAUUCUACCCACCAAAACAUUCAUCAACUAACUGGUCAAAGUCAAAGUAUCUUGAAUGAAUUAAAGGCUGUAAACUCUUGAGCUUGCAUCACUCAUCCAAUUCUGCUCCUUAAUCCUCUCUCUCUCUCUCACUCAAUUUCGCUCUUUCUCUCUCUCUAAGGAAGCAGCAGCUGCUACCGCCGUCUUUAAGGUGAAGAUGAAUUUCAAUUCUGCUUGUUGAUUGUGUGUAGUCAAAUUUGAGAUUUUUUUUCUUCUUUUUUUUGGGUGUUUCCUUUUGUACUCAUUAUCAUGUUUGGCUAUUCUCUUAUGAGAUUUGAUACUUUGAGUUUUGCUCAUAUAUUUUGAUGAUAGAGUUUUCUUAAUUCUUACAAUAACAAAUUUUUAUUUGAAUUGCGCUCUAUGUUAUAUACUCAUUAUGUCCACGAAAAUCAUAGUGUUGUUUGGGAGCAAUGGGUUUAAUAAAAUUGUCACUGUGUAUAAAGUGGAGGAAAGAGUCCAUUAUUAUUAUUAUUAUUAUUAUUAUUAUUAUUAUUAUUAUUAUUAUUAUUAUUAUUAUUAUUUUGAGGAAAUAUUGUUCCAUUAAAAUUGAGUUGUGAAAGAGAUACUACUAUAUUUGAUGGGUUAAGUAAUUGUCUUUUUUUAUAAAUACUAACAGAGAUGACGUGUAUUGAAGAUAAAUUAUUUUAAUAAAUAAUUUUUUAUGAGUAUAAUCAUUUCAUUUUAUAGUACUUCAUCUGUCCUCCCAUAUUUAUGCACCUUUUUUUAUACAUCUUCGAAAUUUACGCACCAUAUUUUUUGACACUAUCUAGUUCACACAUAAUUUUCAUUUACACCAUCUUUCACAAUUUACUUAACAAUAUCCUUCAUGUUCGACUUUUAUUUAAUAUCACUUUUGGCAUAGAUUUUCAAGCUAUAAAUAUUUGCUGGUGAGGAUCAGUAAUUUGCGUUUAGUGUUUACAUUUUCAUAUCUUGGUAUAUGGAUCCAGCCAUGCAUUAAUAUUCUCCACACCUUUUAAGUCAAAAUGAUACUUUGUAAACAUAAAUACUCCCUCCGUCCCAUAAGCUUAGGCUUGUUUUCCUUUUUUGAAUGUCCCAUUUAUAUAGGCUUGUUUCCAUAAAAAGUAAUAUUUUUUUACUCAUUCACUAUUAUAUCUCCAUUUAAUUCUUUAAUUUACUCCCACUUUAAUACAUCAUUAAAUAAUAAAUAUGGGCAUACUAGGAAAUUUACUCAUAUAUUUUCAUUUUCAAUAAGUUUUUUUAAUCUUUGUGAAAAUCUCAAUCAGCCUAAGCUUAUGGGACGGAGGGUGUAUAUAACUACUAAAGUUAUAAAUUUAAUGAGUACAAGUAUAGUUCGGUUAACAGUCACUUUUUAUAUAAAAAAUAAAGGUUAUAAGUGAUUUGUGUCUCUAAAUUUUGUUUUCUCUUAAAAAUUCUUUAAAUAUUUAGCGUUUUUCCUAAAAUAUUUUGCUAUAUAAAAUUUGAUGAUGAAAAGAUGAUUCAUUUCAUCAGAGUCUAACAUGAAUUGUUUUUUGGACUGUUUUUUCAACCUAAACAUCAAAAUGAUAUCGUUUUGAUACAUAAAAAAAAAAUCUCUUUCAUUUAUCUCUAUUUUUAGAAUUUCAUCAAUGUCAACUUCUAAAUAUGUAAUUAUCUUCCUCCCAAUUCUCGGCUUAUUUGGAGAGGAGGAUUUUGUGGUGAUUAACUAUGACCAAAGAUAGAGAGAUUGUUUUUUAUUUUAUUUUUCCACACGUUGAAGUGUUAUGUGAAAACGGGAAAUUUUCUUGCCGUAUAGAAAUUUCGAUGUAUCCAAUUUAUAAAGGUGUCAUAUUUAUAUAUUUUAAUACGUUUACCAAAUUGUUAAAAUGUUAACUAAAUACUCCCUCCGUCCCACUCCAAUAGGCUCAUUUUCCUUUUUGAGAUGUCCCACUCCAAUAGGCUCAUUUUCCUUUUUGGGUAAAAAAGUUGUAUUUAAUUGGUGUGGACCACACCACUUUACUACCAUUUUCCUACUAAAAAGUAAGUUUUCUUAAUCUUCGUGCCCAAAUGAAGUGAGCCUAUUGGAGUGGGAUGAAGGGAGUACUAUAUUUACAAUUUUUUAUAUUAAUACUACCCACCAAAUCAUUCGCGAGUUAAGUAGUCAAAGUCAAAGUCAAAGUAUUAAAAAAAGUGUCGGCAAAGAUUGAAAUAUAAAAAAUGAAAAAAGAAAUCCAUAUCUAGAAUGGAAGGCUGUAAACUCUUCAGCUUGCACCACUCAUCCAUUUCUAUUGCUUAGCUCUCUCUCUCUCUCUCUAAGUUAUCAGCACAAAAAAUGGAAGCAGGAGCUGCUGCUGCCGUUGAAGUUCUAGUUCAAAACCUCAUCGAUCUCUGCAAGAAAGAGAUCUCUCAGAUCCGAGAUCUCAAAAAAGAUGCCGCAAAGCUAGCUGCGAGUCUCAAAACCAUCCAGAAAUUCUUGAACGAUGCCGAGACGCGUGACAUCACCGGCGAAGCUGUCAAGGGUUGGCUGAAGAAGCUUGAAGACGUGGCUUUCGAUGCUGACAAUGUUUUGGAUGAAAUCAACUAUCAUAUUCUCUCCAAACAAUUCAAGCCCACUGAGCCUGAGGAGGAAAAGGUACCAUCAUGCUUCUCACGCCUCUCAUGCUGCAAGAAUCUUUCACGUUCCCGAAAUAUGGCACUUAAAAUCAAAGAAAUCAAUGAGAAUUUGGAGUCCAUUAACAAAGAGGCCACCGAUCUUGGCCUUGUAGGGAGGCUUGCCGAUGAGCCUGCUUUGGAUAUUGCUACUUUGGAAACUAAUUCAUUCACUCAUGAUCCAAUUUUUAUUGGAAGAGAUGAUGUUGUGUCGGAAACAGUUGAUAUGCUUACAAAUAGCAUCACAACUGAUGAAAAAUCAGUUUCCAUACUUGCCAUUGUCGGGAUGGGGGGAUUGGGGAAGACGACAUUGACGAGAAAAGUCUUCAAUCGUCUAAAGAAUGAGACUCGGUUUGGAUCACAUAUUUGGGUUCAUGUUUCCUCAAAUUUUGAUGCAUUAACUCUUUUCAAAAAAAUUCUCAAAGAGUUGACUCGUGAUCAAGUCGAAGGUGAGAGUCAGCAAGGAAUUCUUUCAAAGCUUGAAGAAGCUUUGAAAGAUAAAACUUAUCUUCUUAUUCUCGAUGAUGUAUGGAAUGAAGAUCUUUCCGAAUGGGAUGAUUUUAUCAAUUCCUUGUUGGGAGUUAGUUGUGUAAAGGGAAAUGCCGUUGUUGUUACCACCAGAAAAAUGGAGGUGGCUUCAAUUGUGAAUCCACUUCAUACACAUGAGUUGAAAGGCUUAUCAGCGGAAGAUUGUUGGUCGAUAAUCAAAGUUAAAACCUUUGGAGAAGGAAACGUUCCGUCAGACUUUGAGGCUAUUGGGAAAAACAUUGCAAGAAGAUGUCAAGGUUUGCCAUUAGCUGCCAACGUAGCUGGGGGAGUGCUGCGCAAUAAACCUGAGGAAAAAUGGCGUUCAAUCGAGGAGAAAUGGCUUUCACCCGAUGAAGGAGGAGAUAAUAUCACAAAAAUAUUGAGAUUGAGCUUUGAUAAUUUAUCUCUGCCAUCACUUAAGAAGUGCUUUGCAUACUGUGCAAUGUUUCCUAAAGGCUCCCAAAUCAUGAAACAAGAAUUGAUUGAGAUGUGGAUGGCAGAAGGUUUUCUUCAAGCUGAUGAAAGGGAUGACAUGGAGUCCGUGGGCGAAAAAUUUAUCAACGUUCUUCUGCACAACUCUUUACUGCAAGUUUCAGAAAGAGAUGAUGACGGAAAUGUAGAAAGUUGUGGCAUGCAUGAUCUUGUGCACGAUCUCGCUUGUUCUGUUUCAAGUUCCUCUAACUGUGGUAACAGUCGAGAUCGAUACAUGACUCACAAUUGUGGAGACAAAUCAAGUCCUAUCCCAAAAGAAAUGGCAAAAUCUUUGCGUACAUUAUUAAUUUCAAUCUAUGGUGAUAGUUCUGAUAUCAACUUCUCAGACUUGGAAAGUCUUCAUGUUUUACGUCUUCAAGGUCAUGGAGUUAAGGAGCUGCCAAGUUCGAUUCAAAAGUUGAUACAUUUGAGAGAUUUUGACAUUUCAAAGACAGAAAUUGAAGUUUUUCCGGAUUGGAUUGGUGAAUUCUUUCACUUGCAGACGUUGAGAGUAGACUCAUAUAGGUUGAGAAUUGGGAGAAAACUGCCAAGCACGAUUAAGUACUUGAUUAACUUGAGGCAUCUUUAUAUUGACUCGAGGGUAGAGUUGCCUAUGGGAAUUGGGAGUUUAACUUCUCUCCAAACGCUAAAGUACUUUCCAGUGGGUGACGAGAAUGGCUGCAAAAUUGAAGAGCUCGGAAAUUUGAAUAAUCUUAAAGGAGAGUUACUGAUUCUGCAUCUGGAAAGGGUUCAUGACAAGGAAGAGGCUGGGAAAGCCAAUUUAUUCAAAAAGUCAAAAAUAUUGAACUUGUGUUUGAACUGGGAAACAUAUGGCAGAAGAGAAGGUGAAAUAAAUGAUGAGGAUGUAUUGGAAGGCCUUCAACCUCACUCACAUCUGAGGGAGUUAGAGAUCCGGGGAUUCAAUGGAAAAAGAUUUCCAUCAUGGACUCAGAAGAUGGCAGUUCGAGAUGUGCCUGGAGGCUCUUGGGUGGUGCUUAACAAGUUAACGUCGUUAACACUCUGGGACUGCAGAGAAUGUGAAGAGAUCCCAAUGUUGUGGCACUUGCCCAAUCUCAAGUCUCUUAAGUUGGAUGGAUUAAAAUUUGAAGUGUAUAAAUUCUUCAUUCUACGGACCGGUGAACAAGGACACACGCGUUGCUUUUCCAUCUCUUGAAAGGCUCAUCUUGUCUCGAAUGCCUAAGCUGGCAGAGUGGGCAGAAAUAGAAAUUUCGGAUGGAAGUGAAGUGAAGCUAUUUCCUCGCCUCCAACAUUUGAAAUUAAGCAUUGCAGCAAUUGAAGUGUUCCAAGUUUGGGGCAGUUGCCCAAUCUCAAGUCCCUUAGUUGGGAUUGAGCAAUUUGGAGUGUAUAAAUUCUUCAUUCUACGGAAUGGUGAACAACGACACACGCAUUGUUUUUCCAGCUCUCGAAAAGCUCAGAUUGGAACACAUGCCUAAGCUGGCAGAGUGGGCAGAAAUAGAAGUUUCGGGUGGAAGUGAAGUGAAGCUAUUUCCUCGCCUCCAACAUUUGGAAAUUGACGAUUGCGAGCAAUUGAUGAGUGUUCCAAGUCAUGUCUCGUCAUGCCUUCAACAUUUGAAAAUUGAUAGAAUUGGUGUGGAAUGUCUCCCAGCUGAUUGGUUAUUCAGUAACAACCAGACUCUCUCUUAAUUGUAUAUAAGGCAGUGCCCCAAUUUGAGAGAAUUAGGGGAUAGAGAUAGCGGCGGAGAACAAUCACAAGGAAGCUUCACAUCCCUUCGCGAAAUCUGGAUUAGUGGAUGCAAAGCAUUGGAGUAUUUGCCAUGUGAAUUUCUAGGAUUCUCUCUUGAGGAGCUGUCACUGAAGGAUCUAAGCAGCCUGAAGAAUCUACCAAGGGUAAUUGACUGCCUCCCAAAUUUGCCUCGUCUGACACAUUUGACAGUCGAAGGUGUUCCUAAUUUUAUGACCACUUGUCGUCUUGAGAUUUCGCCUUUUCCCAGCUUGAGAGAGAUGAGUAUCGAUGCUAGUACGGGGGAUUCAAGCUCGACGGAGACUGUGGAUGCCAUAUUGCAAGGAUGCAGCUGCCACUCACUCAAUGAGUUAGAUUUGAAGGGGAUGGAAAGUUGGGAAUGGCUGCCGGAAUCAAUUCAACAUCUUACAUCUCUUUCUAAGUUAUGCUUAGAGGAUUUUGGAAUGGAAGAGUUGCCUGAAUGGUUAGGGAAUCUCUCAUCUCUACAGUCAUUGAAUUUAGAUAACUGCAAAAGGCUAAGGUGUUUACCAUCUAUGGAUGCAAUGCGGCGCCUCACCACAUUAAAAGUAUUAGUUAUUAAGCGUUGCCCAGAAUUAGUGAUUCAAAGUGAGGCAGCUGAUUCUGAAUGGCCCAAGGUUUCCCAUAUCCCACGCAUCCAAAUUGAUGGCUCAUACAUUAUCUGUGACGGUAAGUAUCAAUAUCUUCUUUUUAUUUGAAAUACAGUUGCAUGCAUAUUUAUUUGAAAAAAAAAAUCCAAUGAUCCAGAAAUUAAGGUAUCCUAGUAAAAUCUACUCCCUCCGUCCACUAAUUGUUGGCCUACUUGCCUUUUUGGUCCGUUCAUCAAUUUAUGUCCUAUCUAUUUUGGGUAAGUUUAUAUUCAUAUUUUAAUAAAUUGUGGCCUAAUUGCAUUGACUUUAAUAANGUGUGGGUUUCUUUCUCCACUCAGCU
Molecule: long non-coding RNA, 31528 nt
Filed under: Salvia miltiorrhiza (redroot sage)
Lineage: Eukaryota; Viridiplantae; Streptophyta; Magnoliopsida; Lamiales; Lamiaceae
Description: long non-coding RNA (SMIL_LNC004901)
Source: RNAcentral